CAGUAGCCGCGGUAAUACGGGGGGGGCAAGUGUUAUUCGGAAUGACUGGGCGUAAAGGGCACGUAGGCGGUGAAAAGGGUGGAAAGUGAAAGUCGCCAAAACACUGGCGGGGUGCUUUCUUGACCAUUUCACUUGAGUGAGAUAGGGGAGAGUGGAAUUUCGUGUGGAGGGAUCAAAUCCUAAGAUAUACGAAGGAACGCCAACCGCGAAGGCAGCUCUCUGGGUCCCCACUGACGCUGGGGUGCGAAAGCAUGGGGAGCAAACAGGAUCAGAUACCCCUGUAGUCCCUGUCUCUUAUACA
Molecule: ribosomal RNA, 301 nt
Filed under: uncultured bacterium
Lineage: Bacteria
Description: partial 16S ribosomal RNA
Rfam family: Bacterial small subunit ribosomal RNA
Source: RNAcentral